UGUAGUUCAGUGGUUGGAAUCCCACGUUGUGACCGUGGGGACCUGGGAUCGAAUCUCAGCA
This 61-nucleotide transfer RNA is filed under the name Arabidopsis suecica. Its description in RNAcentral is "tRNA-OTHER". It matches the Rfam family "tRNA", at positions 6 to 65 of the family's 71-position model. From Rfam's summary of the family: Transfer RNA (tRNA) molecules are approximately 80 nucleotides in length. Lineage: Eukaryota; Viridiplantae; Streptophyta; Magnoliopsida; Brassicales; Brassicaceae. The record is from RNAcentral.